UGCACCCAUCUCACCAUGACCCCAAGCAGCCUGGGUUUGGGUUAGCCCCCUGUCUAAACCAAUCUGAGCAUGGGGGGAAGUCCUUCCUGACCCAAAGGCUCUUGGAGGCGCCUCGGAGCUGCCAGAUCAUUUGUGUAUCCUGAUGACUAAAGUGGGUGACUAGUCUUCCAGGAAAGUUGGUGUCAUGUAGCCAGGGCCAAGCUUCUCUGGAGCGUCUUUCACCGAUGCAGGACAAAAGCAACAGGAACAAUUGUCCCUUGCUGGGCAGGCUCUGGACUUGCACCCAGAGCGGUUGAACGAAGCGCUUCCUGUGAGAGAUGCUAGAUACAGCGGCCAAAGGAAGACGCUGGCCAUAGUCCACCCCAGCCCUGGGUGUUGGGCAGCUGGAAUAGAAAACGGAUCCUCUAUUUCCUCCACAGACAGAGCGUAAGAUUCGAAGUUGCCGUCCGCCAUACGUUUGUACCAGCCCUGUAGCAACCUCCCCUCACGCUUCAGCUCUCUCUCAAGCUGUUGGGAUGCCAAGGUGACCUUUGAUGCUGGAAUAUGAGAGGAAGGCACUUGGGAGCCCAUGUGCACAAGCUCACUAUCAUGCCCUAUCCUCUUUUGGGUAGUCUGGUGGCUGGCCGCUUUUGUGACUCAUGGCUACCUGAAGCCAAAUACUUUCAUUCCUCUCCAUGAAACAAGUGUAUCUAUUAUUUCAUACCCUAAUAUAUUUCUGAGUAAUAAAGCAAAGGGGCUGGCAACUGUUCUGUUUGUCGUUGGGCUAGGGGUAUGAUGCUCACUUUGGGUGCAAGAGGUCCUCGGUUCAAAUCCUCAAAAGCCCAUUUUGGGGGUCGGCCCUGAUGAUGUUUAGGUCCCUUCCGACCCUAAGUACUAUGAUACUAUGAAACAGUCUUUCCCCUGGUUUGUAAGAGGUAUCAGAUGUACCACAGGUUGUUAUUAUUGCUAUAAUUGGUACCUGCAUUUCAGCUGAGACUGAGGAUCCUUUC
Alligator mississippiensis (American alligator) is the source of this 989-nucleotide long non-coding RNA. RefSeq lists it as uncharacterized. NCBI's taxonomy places the organism in Eukaryota, Metazoa, Chordata, Crocodylia, Alligatoridae. The record is from RefSeq and is a predicted model, not a curated record. The transcript has 3 exons.